CUUAUAUAUUAUUAUAGGUACGUGCGCACAUGUGUGCGGAGUGCGUCUGCUCGGGCGCAUGAUGGAGAUAAUAAAAUACGAUGUCUUACGAACGCACCUCUACGUAUGCGUAUAUGCACGACGUAUCAAGCUUGUCGAUGGCCCGCAAAUUUAUAGCAACAUAUAAUAUAUAUAUGUUUAUACUUGUAUUGAAGUUAAGUGGGUCGAGCUCUAACGCGCGCCGUCUUGUCGUCUCCGCUGGCGACGUAUAUGAAUUUCGCGCCACUCUUCUUUAAAAAGUUCGAGUCGGCCCGAAAUCUAGGUCGACCGGUACCGUUUCGCACUUGUGCAGCGCCGAAACGACGACGACGCAUUAUUUGCUGAAUGUCAAUAAUAAUAAUAAUAAUAAUAGGUUAUUAUUGUUAUUGAAUGACGUGUGGCCGCCGAAUAUAUAUAUAUAUAUUGUUAAUAAUUAUUGUACAACACAUUCGGCGGCCUUUCGCAGUUCGCGAAAUGCACCUAAUACUUAUAUUAAGAAGGGUUCGAUUAUCAAUUAUGACUCGUAAUAUUCAUAAUAUUAUGUUUCUAGGGCUACUGCAGUAGACCACGUUCGGUCGAGAUCUCGAAGAUUUACCAGCGACCGCCGACCCGAACACGAUCCCGAAGGCACACAUUGAUCAUAACACUCAUACAUCCACGUCAAACAUAAAAAUAUCGCAGGUCAAUUUUCGUGAUUUUUGAGAACACCUCCCUAUGGUAUUCGAACAGAGUUUCAUAGAAAAGAACAUUAUUAUUUAAAGUUUCGCUCAAAGUCUAAAACACGAGAAAACCGAUUACACAUACCUAUCUGCAGUUGCUAUAGACUGUUUCUAAAAUCUAUGCUUUUAUCUCGUUUUGUGUACUCCGAAGAGGGGCAGAAUUUUAUGUACUUUAAUCCAUUAUAGUUGACCCAAAUAAUAUCGUUGCCAUAUACUACAGCAGACAAGAGCACUUCUGGCGUUUUGCGAUUGACAGCAAAUGUGAUAGACUUCAGAGUGUAUAUAUUAUAUAUUAUACAGGUAAAUAAAAAGGAGUAUUGUUUACGUUAAGACGUCAAGUUAUUUAAACAAUCAAACACGACGUGAUUCCAAAACCGUCACAGUUCAAAAAUAUCAGAACCAGAAAAUAACGUGCGUGAAGUUGACCCACCCACUUUGGCUUAGCGGUUCAAAAUCUUCGCACGUCAGAAAAUAAGUGGUCGACGGGGAUUUACUAGCUGCACGGAGAGACCACUAUAAAUAAUUAUAAUGAUACACUAUAUGCAGAGCGCAGUAGCUGCAGAAAGACCUGACAAAUUAAAUAACUUUUGUUUUGAUCUAUAUUUAAAUUUUUAUUUUUAUUUUAAAUAAUGUAUAAUU
Myzus persicae (green peach aphid) is the source of this 1376-nucleotide long non-coding RNA. RefSeq lists it as uncharacterized. The record is from RefSeq and is a predicted model, not a curated record. NCBI's taxonomy places the organism in Eukaryota, Metazoa, Arthropoda, Insecta, Hemiptera, Aphididae. The transcript is spliced from 3 exons.